UACGAAGGGUGCAAGCGUUAAUCGGAAUUACUGGGCGUAAAGCGCGCGUAGGUGGUUCAGUAAGUUGGAUGUGAAAUCCCCGGGCUCAACCUGGGAACUGCAUCCAAAACUGCUGAGCUAGAGUACGGCAGAGGGUGGUGGAAUUUCCUGUGUAGCGGUGAAAUGCGUAGAUAUAGGAAGGAACACCAGUGGCGAAGGCGACCACCUGGACUGAUACUGACACUGAGGUGCGAAAGCGUGGGGAGCAAACAGG
Molecule: ribosomal RNA, 253 nt
Filed under: uncultured bacterium
Lineage: Bacteria
Description: partial 16S ribosomal RNA
Rfam family: Bacterial small subunit ribosomal RNA
Source: RNAcentral